Molecule: ribosomal RNA, 512 nt
Filed under: uncultured bacterium
Lineage: Bacteria
Description: partial 16S ribosomal RNA
Rfam family: Bacterial small subunit ribosomal RNA
Source: RNAcentral
AACGAACGUUAGCGGCGCGCCUAACACAUGCAAGUCGAACGCGACUGGGGGCAACUCCAGUUGAGUGGCGCACGGGUGAGUAACACGUAGGUAAUCUCCCCUCGAGUGGUGGAUAACCUUCCGAAAGGAGGGCUAAUACAGCAUAAGACCACGGCCUCGAAAGAGGCUGAGAUCAAAGCGGAGGAUCGCAAGACUUCGCGCUUGAGGAUGAGCCUGCGGCCCAUCAGGUAGUUGGCGGAGUAACAGCCCACCAAGCCCAAGACGGGUAGCUGGUCUGAGAGGAUGAUCAGCCACACUGGAACUGAGACACGGUCCAGACUCCUACGGGAGGCAGCAGUGGGGAAUCUUGCGCAAUGGACGAAAGUCUGACGCAGCGACGCCGCGUGGGUGAUGAAGGCCUUCGGGUUGUAAAGCCCUGUGGGGAGGGACGAAUAAGUUGCAGCUAAUACCUGCAGCGAUGACGGUACCUCCUUAGCAAGCACCGGCUAACUCUGUGCCAGCCGCCGCCGUAA